CGUGAACAAAAGGACCUGGGGAUGUCCCCGGAAGCAGGACUGCGUGUGUCUAAGAAGCUUAGGGAGCCAUGGUUCGCUCAGAGGUUCCCUCCGUUUCCAGCUCCCCAGAUCCUCCUCAGUGGCCACGGGGUGGCCUCAGCUCUCCCAGUCCUGCCCUGCUGGCUUCUGCAUGUCCUCGGGGAGGCCUGCCUUCCUUCAUCCCUGCCAGGGGUCUGCGCUCUGCUCUCCUGGCCGGGGCCCACAUGUUACAGAAGCAACAACUUUCUCUGUCUCCACCGGACCAGGAACUCUGUGGUCAGCUCCAGGUGCCAGGUUCCAGCACCUGAAGCUGGAACCUCCAUGAGGAGCACGGUCAAUACGCACUGUGGAAAUGGGGCUGUCUGUGACUUACCGUGCUGGGCUCGGCUGUCAUCGGAGAUCAACCGGCAUUCAGCCAGCACUUCUCCAAGGUGAUCUGAAGCGUCUCAGGCUACAUGGCUCCCACCUAUUAUUUUUUGGUGCUGGCUUGUAUUUUGAACACAUCUGCAAGACACCCUUGGCUGACUCAUUAAUUCCUUGUCAUGCUCUCAAGAGAAAAGCUUAAUGGGGCUAUUUCCUAUAUUUUUAUCCAGCAUGAUGAGCUUUUUCCUUGAGUUUUUCUAAAUUUUCCUGUAGGUCCUGAGAAUCCGUCCCCUGAUCGGCUCUUGAUGUAGUUUCCAGGCUUGGUGUGAGGAAGGUGGCUAUUUU
RNAcentral lists this long non-coding RNA (726 nucleotides) under Callithrix jacchus (white-tufted-ear marmoset). RNAcentral describes it as "lncRNA (ENSCJAG00000076803.1)". The record is from RNAcentral. Lineage: Eukaryota; Metazoa; Chordata; Mammalia; Primates; Cebidae.